Molecule: ribosomal RNA, 489 nt
Filed under: Phryganistria heusii
Lineage: Eukaryota; Metazoa; Arthropoda; Insecta; Phasmatodea; Phasmatidae
Description: partial 16S ribosomal RNA
Rfam family: Bacterial large subunit ribosomal RNA
Source: RNAcentral
AAUUUGACCUGCCCAAUGAUUUUAUUUAAUGGCCGCAGUAUUCUUGACUGUGCAAAGGUAGCAUAAUCAUUAGUCUAUUAAUUGUGGACUUGUAUGAAUGGUUGGACGAGAUAUUAUCUGUCUCUAUUUAAUUAUUAGAAUUUAAAUUUUAAGUUAAAAUGCUUAAAUUUACUUAUUGGACGAGAAGACCCUAUUGAUCUUUAUUAUAAUUGAAUUAUUUAUUUUUAGUUUAUGUUUAUAUUUAGUUUAUUUGUUGUUUUGUUGGGGUGACAAGGAGAUAUAAUUAACUCUUUAUUUUUGAUUUCAUUUAUUUAUGUUUAUUUGACCUUUUAUUAUUGUUAUAAGAUAUAGAUACCUUAGGGAUAACAGCGUAAUUUUCUUUGAGAGUUCUUAUUGACAGGAAAGAUUGCGACCUCGAUGUUGGAUUAAGAUUAUAAUCAGGUGUAGAUGCUUGGUGUUAUAGGUCUGUUCGACCUUUAAAUUCUUACA